This 246-nucleotide unclassified non-coding RNA is filed under the name uncultured Lasiosphaeriaceae. RNAcentral describes it as "sequence contains ITS2". Lineage: Eukaryota; Fungi; Ascomycota; Sordariomycetes; Sordariales; Lasiosphaeriaceae. The record is from RNAcentral.
AACGCACAUUGCGCCCGCUAGUAUUCUGGCGGGCAUGCCUGUUCGAGCGUCAUUUCAACCAUCAAGCCCCUGUGCUUGUGUUGGAGCCCUGCGGCUGCCGCAGGCUCCCAAACCCAGUGGCGGGCUCGUCGUCGUACUGAGUGCAGUAAAUUUACCACGCUCAGGGCACGCGACGGGUGACCGGCCGUAAAACCCCCCCUUCUCAAGGUUGACCUCGGAUCAGGUAGGAAUACCCGCUGAACUUAA